AUUGAACGCUGGCGGCAUGAUUUACACAUGCAAGUCGAACGGUAACAGGCCGCAAGGUGCUGACGAGUGGCGAACGGGUGAGUAAUGCAUCGGAACGUGCCCAGUCGUGGGGGAUAACUACUCGAAAGAGUAGCUAAUACCGCAUACGAUCUAUGGAUGAAAGCGGGGGACCGUAAGGCCUCGCGCGAUUGGAGCGGCCGAUGUCAGAUUAGGUAGUUGGUGGGGUAAAGGCUCACCAAGCCAACGAUCUGUAGCUGGUCUGAGAGGACGACCAGCCACACUGGGACUGAGACACGGCCCAGACUCCUACGGGAGGCAGCAGUGGGGAAUUUUGGACAAUGGGCGCAAGCCUGAUCCAGCAAUGCCGCGUGCAGGAAGAAGGCCUUCGGGUUGUAAACUGCUUUGUACGGAACGAAACGGCUCUGGUUAAUACCCGGGGCUAAUGACGGUACCGUAAGAAUAAGCACCGGCUAACUACGUG
Molecule: ribosomal RNA, 481 nt
Filed under: uncultured bacterium
Lineage: Bacteria
Description: partial 16S ribosomal RNA
Rfam family: Bacterial small subunit ribosomal RNA
Source: RNAcentral